This 324-nucleotide ribosomal RNA is filed under the name Triticum aestivum (bread wheat). RNAcentral describes it as "partial small subunit ribosomal RNA". The record is from RNAcentral. Lineage: Eukaryota; Viridiplantae; Streptophyta; Magnoliopsida; Poales; Poaceae.
AUGAGCGCCCGCAAGUGGGACGAGCCGCCCUACGCGUGUGCGUGGCAUCCACGGCCAUGCGCCAGUACAAGGAGGCGUCCUGGUUGUGCUUCUUUCUUCUGGUCCAUGGACAUUGUCAUAAUGGUCACCUUAUCGCAGUGUAUUAUUUUUGGAUCUCAUAUUCCUCAAGGCGCUCCAUCCUCUGAUUUGAUGUCGGCCGAUCUGAGAAAUAAGAGGAGGAAUAAUCCAGCAGAAGAAUUUGGUGAAGAAGAACAAGAAAAUAAUACCUUUAUCCUGAUAGGCAUGGAAACACCAGUUCGCAUUGAGUGCAUCAUCGCUAAUUAG